UACGAAGGGGGCUAGCGUUGCUCGGAAUCACUGGGCGUAAAGCGCACGUAGGCGGAUUGCUAAGUCAGGGGUGAAAUCCUGGAGCUCAACUCCAGAACUGCCUUUGAUACUGGCGAUCUCGAGGGAGGUAGGGGUAUGCGGAACUUCUGGUGGAGCGGUGAAAUGCGUUGAUAUCAGAAGGAACGCCGGUGGCGAAAGCGGCGUACUGGACCUCUUCUGACGCUGAGGCGCGAAAGCUAGGGGAGCAAACGGG
This 253-nucleotide ribosomal RNA is filed under the name uncultured bacterium. RNAcentral describes it as "partial 16S ribosomal RNA". It matches the Rfam family "Bacterial small subunit ribosomal RNA", at positions 524 to 776 of the family's 1533-position model. The record is from RNAcentral.